Etheostoma cragini (Arkansas darter) is the source of this 270-nucleotide long non-coding RNA. RefSeq lists it as uncharacterized. Lineage: Eukaryota; Metazoa; Chordata; Actinopteri; Perciformes; Percidae. The transcript has 2 exons. The record is from RefSeq and is a predicted model, not a curated record.
GGUCAAAAAAAUCACCAAGACAUUGUCUCGUGUCUCCAGAGUCAGGCACAACUUCAUAGGCUUGUCUUGUAAGCAUAACAACAUAAAACCAGAAAUGUAAAAGAAAUCUGUAAAUUGUGAAAUUGAAAGAAUAAAUCUCAUACAUAAAGAAGAGAGAGAGAGAGGAAGGGGAAAAAAGGCUAUAGACUUUUAAAUUAAGUGCAGUUUUUCCUCGUCAGAGAGCAGAGGAGAUGAUGGACUUGUGAGACUGGUGCAGAUUGGAUAAAAAAA